AUACUCAGGUUUCUCUAUAGAUCAUAUAAAUCUCUUGCCUUUUACUAAAGAUUUCCAUGGAAAACAUCCAGUCAUGAAGAAUGUAUUUGACUUCUCUCUGGUGCAGAUGC
Molecule: small nuclear RNA, 110 nt
Filed under: Castor canadensis (American beaver)
Lineage: Eukaryota; Metazoa; Chordata; Mammalia; Rodentia; Castoridae
Description: U5 spliceosomal RNA (ENSCCNG00000007761.1)
Rfam family: U5 spliceosomal RNA
About the family: U5 RNA is a component of both types of known spliceosome.
Source: Rfam by way of RNAcentral